Molecule: ribosomal RNA, 436 nt
Filed under: uncultured Oscillospiraceae bacterium
Lineage: Bacteria; Bacillati; Bacillota; Clostridia; Eubacteriales; Oscillospiraceae
Description: bacterial SSU rRNA
Rfam family: Bacterial small subunit ribosomal RNA
Source: RNAcentral
ACGGAAGGCAGCAGUGGGGAAUAUUGCACAAUGGGCGCAAGCCUGAUGCAGCAACGCCGCGUGAGGGAAGACGGUCUUCGGAUUGUAAACCUUUGUCUUUGGUGAAGAAGCAAUGACGGUAGCCAAGGAGGAAGCCACGGCUAACUACGUGCCAGCAGCCGCGGUAAUACGUAGGUGGCAAGCGUUGUCCGGAAUUACUGGGUGUAAAGGGAGCGCAGGCGGGACAGCAAGUUGGAUGUGAAAUACCGGGGCUUAACCACGGAGCUGCAUCCAAAACUGUUGUUCUUGAGUGAAGUAGAGGUAGGCGGAAUUCCGAGUGUAGCGGUGAAAUGCGUAGAUAUUCGGAGGAACACCAGUGGCGAAGGCGGCCUACUGGGCUUUAACUGACGCUGAGGCUCGAAAGUGUGGGGAGCAAACAGGAUUAGAUACGCUGGUA